CAGUAGCCGCGGUAAUACGAAGGGUGCAAGCGUUACUCGGAAUUACUGGGCGUAAAGCGUGCGUAGGUGGUGGUUUAAGUCCGUUGUGAAAGCCCUGGGCUCAACCUGGGAAUUGCAGUGGAUACUGGAUCACUAGAGUGUGGGAGAGGUAAGUGGAAUUUCCGGUGUAGCAGUGAAAUGCGUAGAGAUCGGAAGGAACAUCUGUGGCGAAGGCGACUAUCUGGGCCAACACUGACACUGAGGCACGAAAGCGUGGGGAGCAAACAGGAUUAGAUACCCCGGUAGUCCCUGUCUCUUAUAC
This 301-nucleotide ribosomal RNA is filed under the name uncultured bacterium. RNAcentral's name for it is "partial 16S ribosomal RNA". It matches the Rfam family "Bacterial small subunit ribosomal RNA", at positions 509 to 807 of the family's 1533-position model. The record is from RNAcentral.